AGCCUGAUGCAGCGACGCCGCGUGAGGGAUGACGGCCUUCGGGUUGUAAACCUCUUUCGACAGGGACGAAGCGCAAGUGACGGUACCUGUAGAAGAAGCACCGGCCAACUACGUGCCAGCAGCCGCGGUAAUACGUAGGGUGCGAGCGUUGUCCGGAAUUACUGGGCGUAAAGAGCUUGUAGGCGGUUCGUCGCGUCGAUUGUGAAAACUUGCAGCUCAACUGCAAGCUUGCAGUCGAUACGGGCGGACUAGAGUACUUCAGGGGAGACUGGAAUUCCUGGUGUAGCGGUGAAAUGCGCAGAUAUCAGGAGGAACACCGGUGGCGAAGGCGGGUCUCUGGGAAGUAACUGACGCUGAGAAGCGAAAGCGUGGGUAGCGAACAGGAUUAGAUACCCUGGUAGUCCACGCCGUAAACGGUGGGUACUAGGUGUGGGUUUCCUUCCACGGGAUCCGUGCCGUAGCUAACGCAUUAAGUACCCCGCCUGGG
This 487-nucleotide ribosomal RNA is filed under the name Nocardia jiangxiensis. Its description in RNAcentral is "bacterial SSU rRNA". It matches the Rfam family "Bacterial small subunit ribosomal RNA", at positions 380 to 877 of the family's 1533-position model. The record is from RNAcentral. Lineage: Bacteria; Bacillati; Actinomycetota; Actinomycetes; Mycobacteriales; Nocardiaceae.